Molecule: ribosomal RNA, 460 nt
Filed under: uncultured bacterium
Lineage: Bacteria
Description: partial 16S ribosomal RNA
Rfam family: Bacterial small subunit ribosomal RNA
Source: RNAcentral
CCUACGGGAGGCAGCAGUGAGGAAUAUUGGUCAAUGGGCGCGACCCUGAACCAGCCAAGUCGCGUGAAGGAUGACUGCCCUCCUUAUUGUAAGCUUCUUUUAUAGGGUAAUAAAUUACGGCACGUGUGCCUUUUUGUAUGUCCUUUUUGAAUAAGGAUCGGCUAACCCCGUGCCAGCAGCAGCGGUAAUACGGAGGAGCCGAGCGUUAUCCGGAUUUAUUGGGUUUAAAGGGAGCGUAGAUGGGUCGUUAAGUCAGUUGUGAAAGGUUGCGGCUCAACCGCAGAAUUGCUGUUGAUACUGGCGGACUUGAGUGCAGUUGAGGUAGGCGGAAUUCGUGGUGUAGCGAUGAAAUGCGUAGAUAUCACGAAGAACUCCGAUUGCGAAGGCAGCUUACUAAACUGCAACUGACAUUGAGGCUCGAAAGUGUGGGUAGCAAACAGGAUUAGAUACCCUAGUAGUC